This is a long non-coding RNA of Brassica rapa (field mustard), 1600 nucleotides long. RefSeq lists it as uncharacterized. The record is from RefSeq and is a predicted model, not a curated record. NCBI's taxonomy places the organism in Eukaryota, Viridiplantae, Streptophyta, Magnoliopsida, Brassicales, Brassicaceae.
AUUUUUUUUUAUGGUCAUGUUAAGUACCUUAGUUAAUGAUAUUUCCCACAUGGAGUUCAACUAUGGGCAAAGUAAAGCAGGUCUUAGAAAUGAUGUAAUUUGCUUAUUUCUAGCUUCAUGAAGAUGUGCCUAAUCUUGGGGAUGCAUCUUCACACUAAGACAAAUGAAUGGUCAAAAUGUCUCUGAGAUGACAUGGGAGUGUCAUGCCAAAUAUUAUGUGGUGUCCAUAUUAUAACGAGGACUAUAUGACUGGUCAAAGAAUCAGAAAGAGUUGAAUUCAAGAUGAAUUUGCCAUCUUAUUUGCUAUUUCAGGUGAAAACAUAAUGAAUGGAAACCAUUCUUGUUGAUUAUGUUAGGAUUACUAUCUUAUCUGAUCCGUUUUGAUUGUGGAUAUUGCUUGAUUCUAAUUGUUGUGGUCUUCAACAAGAGAGUUUUGAGAUAAGUUUCAUGUCUACAUCAGUAGGUCAACUGAUAAAAUAUAUGCUCUACAUGUAAAAUCCAAUCCAACAUAAAUUAUGCUUAGUUGGUAGUCGGUGAAAUAAACUUAUGAUUUAUAAGCAAUAGUUGCAAACGAUACAUUUAUAGGCUCUGAAAGAUCCAUAUGUCAGAAAUUUACUAUGGAAACUCUCUGGCUCUUUCUUUGAGAGACAUAACAAGAGAUUCCCAUUGAUAUUUUCUUUAAGAAGUUUCCAACCAUAACAUAUUAACAAUAGAUCACAAAUGUUAUAAAAUCGACAAGUUAAUGGAAAACGUUAAAACGAACAUUAGUAAUGAACAGAAAAUGUGGAAAACUAUAGUAGUUAUAUUCUUCUUGUUCGGUACCGCCCAUUGUGGAGGCUCUAACAAAGAAAAGCAUAAAGGUAAGUAGGUAGAGAAUAAGGUUUAUUUUUCUAUAUGUUUUAAAGGGACCCAUACUUCAUGUUGAAUUCCCUUAAACUCCUUGUUGGUCGUGUGUUAUUUUCUUUAUAGAAUGUCAGUAUGUCACCGUGGUCCAGUAUUCAUGCUACUCAAGUCUGUGAUCAAUGCGAUUCAUUUAUGACAUGAGGGUUCAGUGAAGAAAAUCAACAAAAUAUAUCUAAGAGAUUUUUUUAAUAUGCAUGAAUCGUAACCACCAAUGGUGCUGCAUCAUAGGCCCUAAUGAUAAAAAGAAAAAUCAACAGGUUUUCUUAAUAUGCAUGAAUCGAUUCACCAUCCUGUUGAUUAUGGGCCACAGGACAAUGAUGCAGCACCACCAUUAGGCCCUAACGAUUUACUUGACACAAAAAAAAAAAAAAAAGAUUAGAGAAUGAUUCGAGGUAGCACACUAGCACUAUGUCAUUUCAUUGUGCAUCCCAACAGAAUGGUCAGACCCAGCCCAUUAAGUGAUUGUCCUGUGGCCCAAAAUCGCGAAGGUUCCAAAGGUCCACCACCAAUCACAUCAGAGUAGGCCAGAGGGCAUAAACUAAAACAGUAUAUUCGAUUCAACAUCCGGCUUAUGUUAGCUACUAAAACAGUAACACACAUUUUCACACUAGCCCAAAUUUAUUAGUAAAGAAAUUGGCGCAUCCAACCCAAGAACAUGAUCAUUAACAGACCACAUUCAAUGAUUCAACCUUUUAAA